UUAAAAGUUUAUAUUUCAAAUGUUAUAACAGAGCCAAAAGAAAAAUAAUAUACAAUCUUUUCUGUUCAACGAUCAAUUAAUCAUUGGUUCUUCUUUCUCCAGGAUUACGGGUCGUUGGAUCUCUUUGAGGUCUCGCCUAGUGAUGGAUUGCUGUUGAAGCUGGUGUUGUCUAGCUGUAGCACCAGCCUUGGCAUGUCAUCGACCUUGUUUGUCGUUUACCUUAUUUUCUGUCCGUCCGUCUGAUAAUGAACGUUGUUGGUCAACUCCUCAGCAAGGCAGAUAUCUAUGCUGAAGCAAGGGCUCCCAAGUACUUUUACAAAUACCGUCCUGGCCUAAGGGUGAGCUUAUCCUAAAGCUGAAAGGGCGCUUCCUAACUUCCCGCCGCCAAAUGAAAUAAACGAAAUGAUGUCAGCCCUGAAUCAUCAACUAUUUAUUAAUUGCUACUUUUUAUUUUAAACCAGCUGACCCGGGCCCGCUCCGCACCGCCUUCUUUUACUUUAUAAGGAACAAAAUUUUCCUUGGAAACAUUUAUUUUCAACAAUUAAACAGCUUUUAGUGAAAUACCAUGUUACGAAAAUAGUAUAUCGCUUGACUAACAGUUUAACAAUAUAAGCGCCUUUAUCUGAA
Stomoxys calcitrans (stable fly) is the source of this 627-nucleotide long non-coding RNA. RefSeq lists it as uncharacterized. Lineage: Eukaryota; Metazoa; Arthropoda; Insecta; Diptera; Muscidae. The transcript has 2 exons. The record is from RefSeq and is a predicted model, not a curated record.